GGCGUGUUUCCUCAGUCAACUAUGGAUGCAUGGCAUUGUGAUAUUUGUGGCUCAAAAUCGGGCAGAGGAUUUGAAGCAACUUUCGAAGUUCUUCCCAGGCUGAAUGAAAUCAAAUUUAGCAGUGGUGUCAUCGAUGAACUCUUGUUUUUGGAUUUUCCGCGCGAAUGCAGAUUUCCCUCAGGGUUAAUGAUGCUGGAAUAUGCCAAAGCAGUUCAGGAAAGUGUAUAUGAACAACUUCGUGUGGUUCGGGAAGGUCGACUUCGAAUCAUUUUUACCUCUGAUUUGAAGAUAUUGUCAUGGGAAUUUUGUGCUCGGCGUCAUGAAGAGCUUCUUCCGAGGAGAUUAGUUGCACCACAGGUAAAUCAAUUGGUGCAGGUUGCUCAGAAAUGCCAAAGUACAUUAACAGAAACUGGACCUGAUGGAGUUUCUCAGGAGGAUUUACAAGCGAACAGCAACAUGGUCGUCACGAGUGGACGCCAACUUGCAAAGAGUUUGGAGUUACAGUCACUGAAUGAUUUGGGAUUUUCCAAAAGAUAUGUGAGAUGCUUACAGAUUGCUGAGGUCGUGAAUAGCAUGAAGGAUUUGAUGGAUUUUUGCAGUGAGCAUAAAGCUGGUUCCAUUGAGGGCUUAAAGAGUUUCCCGCGACAUGAUAACACAGCCAAGUUUCAGAUGCAAAAUAUACAGGAAACAGAGCAGCAGGUGGGUAAUAUUCAGGGUCUGCCAACCGACCGCAGUGCGUUGAACAAGCUUAUGUCUCUCCAUCCUGGGCUUAAUAACCAAAUCAGCAAUAACCAGCAGAUGGGUGGUCGGGGAGCUUUAAGUGGCUCUGGACAAGCUGCUCUUUCGCUGUCAAACUUCCAAAAUUCGCUUAUGCGGCAGAAUUCAAUGAAUUCAAACACAAACUCAACCCAACAAGAUGCGUCUUCUUCUUUCAAUAAUUCAAACAACUCUCAAUCUUCACUGUUGCAAGGAUCCAAUGGUAUGUUGCCAGGGACAGUGCAGAACUUACCUGUCAGUGGGUUGCCAAGUACCAGUCUGCAGCAACAACAGCAGCAAUUACUGAGUAGUGGUUUACUCUCGCAAAGUCAAUCUCAAUCCUCGCAGGGAAGCCAGGCGCUGCAGCAGCAAAUGAUCCAGCAGCUCCUCCAGGACAUGAACACCAACAAUGGUGGGUCUGGAGUUCAACAGCAGUG
RNAcentral lists this unclassified non-coding RNA (1193 nucleotides) under Hevea brasiliensis (rubber tree). Lineage: Eukaryota; Viridiplantae; Streptophyta; Magnoliopsida; Malpighiales; Euphorbiaceae. The record is from RNAcentral.